This is a small nuclear RNA of Artibeus jamaicensis (Jamaican fruit-eating bat), 109 nucleotides long. The record is from RefSeq and is a predicted model, not a curated record. Lineage: Eukaryota; Metazoa; Chordata; Mammalia; Chiroptera; Phyllostomidae.
GUGCUUGCUUCGGCAGCACAUACACUAAAAUUGGAACGAUACAGAGAAGAUUAGCAUGGCCCCUGUGUAAGGAUGACACGCAAAAACACAUGAACAAAAACAGAGCCAG